GAGCAACAGGACGGUGAGAGCAUGACAGGCAAGUGGAGAAGGACAGCAUCUGGGACGUCAGGAGGACAAUCUGCACUCGCCAACAUGUUGUUGCCUCUUGUGAGAGUUUCUAGUUUCCUUGCAGAGUUUGUGAGAGGAGAUGGAAGAGAGAAGAGUUAACGGCAGCACGGCUAAGAAAGAAGACUAAAGGUUUGCUUGUGAAAGGCAUAGUACCAGACAACAAUAGGGCUUGAACACAUCAGAUGAGUAGCAAAGAAAAAACAGCUAUUACUAUGACUUCAGAUAGGAUUGGGUUGAUAGGACUAUUAUGAAUUCCACCAUAUCCAAAGACAGUCAUGAGGAGGUAAGUAUUUCAGCUUCUGCGUUGGCCUGUUUGGAUUGCAAACCUGUCUUCUCUGUUCCAAUUCAUUGAGCAGGUUCUGGCCAUCAGUGAUGAGAGUGGGCGUAGAAGAGACUGGGAAACCUCAUGAGUAAGUAAUGAUUCCUGAGUCACGAUGUUCUUACACAAAAGCUUUAUUUCACAGCCAUCUUCUAAUCUGGAGGAGAACGGAAGCACCCUCCCGGACAAACAAGACAGCAAAACAUCUCACAAGGAGAUCAAUGACAACGGUACAAAGGACCCUCCAUGUAUGAGCUCUUUCUGUUGCAAGGAGUGUAUUUUGGUAACAAUCUGGAAAGCAGGUUUAUGAUGGAACCAUGAUAGCUACCAUAACAAUUCAGAGUGCUGCUACACAGCAAGGGAAAUGUGAAUUUACUCACAUCCACUUGCUGUGAAGUCACACCAGGGGAUCCAAGUCUGUUCAAUUUAAGUAACUACACAGGGAGACAGAAGAAAAGCUUUGUUUAGUCCUUGUUUGAAACUCGAUAGGAGGCACAGUUAAAAGGAACUGCCUAUCAAGCUGUAACAAGGGUUUCCUCCUCUCAUUUCCUCCUCUUGUUAGCUGUGUGUGUGUGUUUACAUCCCUUAGUGCAUCUGUACUGGCACUUUGAUAAUAUUUCCUGGUGCUGCAAUGCAGGAAAAAAGCAUCUUCCUGAGAGAGGCUUUGCUUGCCUUCAGAAAAAAAAGUAUGUGAAGACUUUCCAAGAAAGGCCUUAUUUUAUGCUAGGAAGGGAGGGAGGGAGGGAGAGAAACGGAAAAGAAAGGAAGGAGUUGGUGGUCUUUGCUUGCUUUUCUUGACUGUGAGCCGGCACAAUGACUUUUCUGCAUUGGUUCAAGAAAUCUCAUGGCUGAAUCAUUGUGAAUUGAUAAGAAGCCCCAGCAGUGGAGGGGAAAAGUAGAUGGGGAGGGGGGAGAGACUCCAGGCUGAUUCUCAUUUCCCUUUGCAUUGUGUAAUUAACAUAAAAAAUGCAAAUCAUGCUGCCCCAAAUCCAUAGCACAGAGUGUAUUAAAGGAUAGCCAUAGAACUAAGAAUGCAGGUGCAUUGGGUGUGGGGGGAGGUAGUAGCAGUAAAGAGUGGUUUAGCCAAGGUCAUUGCCAAUGGAUUGGAAGGUUCUGGCCCUUGUUGCCAUGCCCAGGGUAAUACUGAUCGCCGCUUCCGGGGUCGGGAAGGAAUUUUCCUCCAGGUCAGAUUGGCCAGAGAUCCUGGAGGUUUUUCGCCUUCUUCUGGGCAUCCAACAUCGGUUAUACAUAUUAAUCUUAUAUGGAUUUUAGAGUAACAACAUAUUUGACAACUGAACUCGUCAAAUAACAAUACCAUCUUAACAGAAAAUUAAUAAAAAUCACCAAUC
Pogona vitticeps (central bearded dragon) is the source of this 1728-nucleotide non-coding RNA. The record is from RefSeq and is a predicted model, not a curated record. NCBI's taxonomy places the organism in Eukaryota, Metazoa, Chordata, Lepidosauria, Squamata, Agamidae.